This 468-nucleotide ribosomal RNA is filed under the name uncultured bacterium. RNAcentral's name for it is "partial 16S ribosomal RNA". It matches the Rfam family "Bacterial small subunit ribosomal RNA", at positions 28 to 507 of the family's 1533-position model. The record is from RNAcentral.
GACGAACGCUGGCGGCGUGCUUAACACAUGCAAGUCGAACGGAAAGGCCCUGCUUUUUUGGGGUGCUCGAGUGGCGAACGGGUGAGUAACACGUGAGUAACCUGCCCUUGACUUUGGUAUAACUUCAGGAAACUAGGGCUAAUACCGGAUAGGAGCUCCUGCUGCAUGGUGGGGGUUGGAAAGUUUCGGCGGUUGGGGAUGGACUCUCGGCUUAUCAGCUUGUUGGUGGGGUAGUGGCUUACCAAGGCUUUGACGGGUAGCCGGCCUGAGAGGGUGACCGGCCACAUUGGGACUGAGAUACGGCCCAGACUCCUACGGGAGGCAGCAGUGGGGAAUAUUGCACAAUGGGCGGAAGCCUGAUGCAGCAACGCCGCGUGCGGGAUGACGGCCUUCGGGUUGUAAACCGCUUUCGCCUGUGACGAAGCGUGAGUGACGGUAAUGGGUAAAGAAGCACCGGCUAACUACGUG